UACGGAGGGGGCUAGCGUUGUUCGGAGUUACUGGGCGUAAAGCGCACGUAGGCGGCUUUGUAAGUUAGAGGUGAAAGCCCGGGGCUCAACUCCGGAAUUGCCUUUAAAACUGCAUCGCUAGAAUUGUGGAGAGGUAAGUGGAAUUCCGAGUGUAGAGGUGAAAUUCGUAGAUAUUCGGAAGAACACCAGUGGCGAAGGCGACUUACUGGACACAUAUUGACGCUGAGGUGCGAAAGCGUGGGGAGCAAACAGG
Molecule: ribosomal RNA, 253 nt
Filed under: uncultured bacterium
Lineage: Bacteria
Description: partial 16S ribosomal RNA
Rfam family: Bacterial small subunit ribosomal RNA
Source: RNAcentral